Sphaerodactylus townsendi is the source of this 356-nucleotide long non-coding RNA. RefSeq lists it as uncharacterized. The record is from RefSeq and is a predicted model, not a curated record. NCBI's taxonomy places the organism in Eukaryota, Metazoa, Chordata, Lepidosauria, Squamata, Sphaerodactylidae. The transcript is spliced from 2 exons.
GAGCUGUAGUCCAUAACAUUUGGAGGGCUGCGAGUUUGACACCUAUGCGGGAGAAGUUUCAACUAUGAUGGUAAGCUGCCUUGAGCCACGAGAAAAGGCAGGCUGUAAACGUUUUACUAAAUAAAAUGUGCCCUCACUGUCUCUUCUAUUUCUAAGCAAUCCCAAGUAGAAUUCUCGGGAGGUGUGAUAAAAGCCAAAAUAAAGAGGUACAUCAGGUUGGGGGGGCUGAUCUGCAAAAGGUUCUUAGCGGAGAGAUGGAAGAAACAUCUUUUCAAAACAUUCUGUCACUGUUUCUCAGCCUUUUUUCCUUGUUUCUGUUGCCAAAGAGCACUCAAUCAAAUAAAGAUUUUGACGCA